This 497-nucleotide ribosomal RNA is filed under the name uncultured bacterium. RNAcentral describes it as "partial 16S ribosomal RNA". It matches the Rfam family "Bacterial small subunit ribosomal RNA", at positions 28 to 507 of the family's 1533-position model. The record is from RNAcentral.
GAUGAACGCUGGCGGCGUGCCUAAUACAUGCAAGUCGAGCGAACGGACGAGAAGCUUGCUUUUCUGAUGUUAGCGGCGGACGGGUGAGUAACACGUGGAUAACCUACCUAUAAGACUGGGAUAACUUCGGGAAACCGGAGCUAAUACCGGAUAAUAUUUUGAACCGCAUGGUUCAAAAGUGAAAGACGGUCUUGCUGUCACUUAUAGAUGGAUCCGCGCUGCAUUAGCUAGUUGGUAAGGUAACGGCUUACCAAGGCAACGAUGCAUAGCCGACCUGAGAGGGUGAUCGGCCACACUGGAACUGAGACACGGUCCAGACUCCUACGGGAGGCAGCAGUAGGGAAUCUUCCGCAAUGGGCGAAAGCCUGACGGAGCAACGCCGCGUGAGUGAUGAAGGUCUUCGGAUCGUAAAAAUCUGUUAUUAGGGAAGAACAUAUGUGUAAGUAACUGUGCACAGCUUGACGGUACCUAAUCAGAAAGCCACGGCUAACUACGUG